RNAcentral lists this unclassified non-coding RNA (378 nucleotides) under soil metagenome. RNAcentral's name for it is "partial contains 5.8S ribosomal RNA, internal transcribed spacer 2, and large subunit ribosomal RNA". The stretch from base 1 to 117 matches the Rfam family "5.8S ribosomal RNA", at positions 38 to 154 of the family's 154-position model. The record is from RNAcentral.
GAUGAACGUAGCGAAAUGCGAUAAGUAAUGUGAAUUGCAGAAUUCAGUGAAUCAUCGAAUCUUUGAACGCACCUUGCGCUCCUUGGUAUUCCGAGGAGCAUGCCUGUUUGAGUGUCAUUAAUAUAUCAACCUCUUCAGCUUAUGCUUGUUGAGUGUUGGAUGGUGGGGGUUUGCUGGUGUCUUAUGAAGUCAGCUCCUCUGAAAUGCAUUAGCGGAACAAUUUGUUGACCGUUCAUUGGUGUGAUAAAAAUAUCUACGCUAUUGACGUCAGUCAGUUCAGCUUCUAACAGUCCAUUGACUUGGACAAAUUUUUCAUUAAUGUGACCUCAAAUCAGGUAGGACUACCCGCUGAACUUAAGCAUAUCAAUAAGCGGAGGA